GAAAGCAGGGGAUCGUAAGACCUUGCGCUUUUGGAGCGGCCGAUGUCUGAUUAGCUAGUUGGUGGGGUAAUGGCCUACCAAAGCUUCGAUCAGUAGCUGGUCUGAGAGGACGGCCAGCCACACUGGGACUGAGACACGGCCCAGACUCCUACGGGAGGCAGCAGUGGGGAAUUUUGGACAAUGGGCGCAAACCUGAUCCAGCCAUGCCGCGUGAGUGAAGAAGGCCUUCGGGUUGUAAAGCUCUUUCAGCCGGGAAGAAAAGGCUGCGACUAAUAAUCGCAGUUCAUGACGGUACCGGAAGAAGAAGCACCGGCUAACUACGUGCCAGCAGCCGCGGUAAUACGUAGGGUGCGAGCGUUAAUCGGAAUUACCGGGCGUAAAGGGUGCGCAGGCGGUUUUGUAAGUCAGAUGUGAAAUCCCCGGGCUUAACCUGGGAACUGCGUUUGAAACUACAAAGCUAGC
RNAcentral lists this ribosomal RNA (462 nucleotides) under uncultured beta proteobacterium. Its description in RNAcentral is "bacterial SSU rRNA". It matches the Rfam family "Bacterial small subunit ribosomal RNA", at positions 202 to 645 of the family's 1533-position model. The record is from RNAcentral. Lineage: Bacteria; Pseudomonadati; Pseudomonadota; Betaproteobacteria.